Molecule: long non-coding RNA, 460 nt
Organism: Entelurus aequoreus (snake pipefish)
Lineage: Eukaryota; Metazoa; Chordata; Actinopteri; Syngnathiformes; Syngnathidae
Exons: 3
Source: RefSeq, a predicted model, not a curated record
UUGUUUUCAUCACACAGCAUUCAGCCAAUCAAAUUGCAGGACAACUAAUGAAAAACAGUUGUCAAACAACGCCCCAGUGAGAAAGAUUUAUACCAAAGUUGGUUUCGUUCGGGUAUAAAAACUACGACUUGGUCAACAAAAAACGAAUUGCCGUAUGCAAAUCACGCAGUUCGAAUAUUACAGACGGAGACGCAACAACUUCCAACUUCGUUCGACAUUUGAAGUUGCACAAAGAAGGAGGAAAAACUCCAGAAGCUGUCCACCUCCGAAUCAAGAACCUCAAGGAAUCGGCUGCACAAGUCGUUCAUUCCCUGGGCGUAACUCACCUCUGCAUUACACGGCAACAAACAGAUGCCAACUCAAGUUAGCCGGUGCUAAUGGAACCGAGAUUCCCUGAACCUUCAUCUCUGGAAACACACAAAUUAUUCUCUAAGGAAAAGGUAAAAAAAACAAAACAUUG